This 220-nucleotide long non-coding RNA is filed under the name Lathyrus oleraceus (garden pea). Its description in RNAcentral is "Pisum sativum (pea) long non-coding RNA (PSAT_LNC032536)". Lineage: Eukaryota; Viridiplantae; Streptophyta; Magnoliopsida; Fabales; Fabaceae. The record is from RNAcentral.
UUUUAUCAGGCUAAUUAGAUUGUUAGUUUAAUUAGUUAGUAAAUCUUGAUUUUUAGGAUUUAAUUAGCAUAUUAGGAUUUAAUUAGAAUUUCAUUAAAAUUAAUUAGGACUUUUAAUUAGAAUUUAAGUAGGGUUUUAGUUAGAAUUUUCUAAUUAGGAACAAUUAGGCUUAAUUAAAUUUAGGAUCUUGACAUUUCUCAACUUUAGAUUUAAUCAACCU